UACGUGGGGGGCAAGCGUUGUUCGGAAUUACUGGGCGUAAAGGGCUCGUAGGCGGCCAACUAAGUCAGACGUGAAAUCCCUCGGCUUAACCGGGGAACUGCGUCUGAUACUGGAUGGCUUGAGAUUGGGAGAGGGAUGCGGAAUUCCAGGUGUAGCGGUGAAAUGCGUAGAUAUCUGGAGGAACACCGGUGGCGAAGGCGGCAUCCUGGACCAACACUGACGCUGAGGAGCGAAAGCCAGGGGAGCAAACGGG
RNAcentral lists this ribosomal RNA (253 nucleotides) under uncultured bacterium. Its description in RNAcentral is "partial 16S ribosomal RNA". It matches the Rfam family "Bacterial small subunit ribosomal RNA", at positions 524 to 776 of the family's 1533-position model. The record is from RNAcentral.